ACAAAAAUUUUUAUUUUUAAUUAUUUAUUUACUUUUUGAUUUUGUAAACAUAAAGUGUUGUUGGUAAUGUAAGCAAAAUGAAAACGGCACAAAAUAUUGCCUUCGUAUGCAAUAGUAUAUAAACAAUCUUUUUUUCUUUUUUGUUUUAUACUUUUCGGUUAACUUUAAUUUUAUUUCCUGAUUAAAUCGAUGUGAUGCAUAUUUUAUUUGAAAUUAUCUGAUAUAAAAAA
This 230-nucleotide long non-coding RNA is filed under the name Ananas comosus (pineapple). RNAcentral's name for it is "long non-coding RNA (ACOM_LNC012757)". The record is from RNAcentral. Lineage: Eukaryota; Viridiplantae; Streptophyta; Magnoliopsida; Poales; Bromeliaceae.